Molecule: small RNA, 1734 nt
Filed under: Pan troglodytes (chimpanzee)
Lineage: Eukaryota; Metazoa; Chordata; Mammalia; Primates; Hominidae
Description: retained intron
Source: RNAcentral
UGGCAAUCUAGCUGGAUAGCAUCCCUGCCCCUUGAAGAGAUGUUUUUGUGGCCCCACACUACUGACUUAGGCAUAAUGCCUAGAGAUGGAUUAGAACUGCGCAAUGAACUAGUGGUGAGGUUCAGUUUAAUGGAAAUCGGUGAAAGCUUUCAGGAUCAAAUGAUAAUCUUUGUUUCUUUCUUUCAGGAAAAUGGCAGACAAUUUUUCGGUAAGUGUUUUAUGCCUGUUUCUUCCCCUCGAUCAGCUCCACAUGGUUGAGGGUUGGGGGUUUUGUUUUUACCAUGACUUUCCCUUUUCACUCUCCCACUGCGUGGCUUCCCCUGGACUCAUUUGUCCAAUGAGGGCUUGCAAGCUGGAGCCUUGUUUUUCCAGCAGCAGAUGUGGGAAGAAAGCCAGGCAGAGUGAGGCCUGGGACUCACUCACAGUAACCCUUUCACCAAAAGGCCCAGGGCGGAAGGGAGUGGACUCUGCCGGCAGGAGCUGAGAAAUCCUCUGAGUAGCGGGAAGUGUGGUACAGUCUGGGCAUUCUGAUGUUUGUGAUUGUUUUUCUCAUGGUGAUGAAAAAGUAUGUGCUAUAGUAGAGGAGCGCUAACUCCUGACUUGAGCUAAUUAUGAAAAUGCAGCCCUCCCUGAUCUGAGACGUUGGGAGGCAAGAAUAAAGUGAAAAAGUAUAUGUAAUCCCAACAUCUAAUUUUAGUCUUAGAAACUCAAACUAUUAAUAAGUGGAAAAAGUUUAAUGAUAUGCAUGUAAUGCCUUUGCCAUAUUCCUCUCCUUAGAUCACAUAUUCCUAUUUUCCUGAAAAUUCUGCUUUUGAGAAUGCUUUCUGUCCCGUAAUUGUGUAUGUCUUUCUUUCCAGCUCCAUGAUGCGUUAUCUGGGUCUGGAAACCCAAACCCUCAAGGAUGGCCUGGUGCAUGGGGGAACCAGCCUGCUGGGGCAGGGGGCUACCCAGGGGCUUCCUAUCCUGGGGCCUACCCCGGGCAGGCACCCCCAGGGGCUUAUCCUCGACAGGCACCUCCAGGCGCCUACCCUGGAGCACCUGGAGCUUAUCCCGGAGCACCUGCAUCUGGAGUCUACCCAGGGCCACCCAGCGGCCCUGGGGCCUACCCAUCUUCUGGACAGCCAAGUGCUCCCGGAGCCUACCCUGCCACUGGCCCCUAUGGCGCCCCUGCUGGGCCACUGAUUGUGCCUUAUAACCUGCCUUUGCCUGGGGGAGUGGUGCCUCGCAUGCUGAUAACAAUUCUGGGCUCGGUGAAGCCCAAUGCAAACAGAAUUGCUUUAGAUUUCCAAAGAGGGAAUGAUGUUGCCUUCCACUUUAACCCACGCUUCAAUGAGAACAACAGGAGAGUCAUUGUUUGCAAUACAAAGCUGGAUAAUAACUGGGGAAGGGAAGAAAGACAGUCGGUUUUCCCAUUUGAAAGUGGGAAACCAUUCAAAAUACAAGUACUGGUUGAACCUGACCACUUCAAGGUUGCAGUGAAUGAUGCUCACUUGUUGCAGUACAAUCAUCGGGUUAAAAAACUCAAUGAAAUCAGCAAACUGGCAAUUUCUGGUGACAUAGACCUCACCAGUGCUUCAUAUACCAUGAUAUAAUCUGAAAGGGGCAGAUUAAAAAAAAAAAAAGAAUCUAAACCUUACAUGUGUAAAGGUUUCAUGUUCACUGUGAGUGAAAAUUUUUACAUUCAUCAAUAUCCCUCUUGUAAGUCAUCUACUUAAUAAAUAUUACAGUGAAUUA